Molecule: ribosomal RNA, 429 nt
Filed under: Bacillota bacterium
Lineage: Bacteria; Bacillati; Bacillota
Description: Firmicutes bacterium partial 16S ribosomal RNA
Rfam family: Bacterial small subunit ribosomal RNA
Source: RNAcentral
UGGGGAAUAUUGGACAAUGGGCGAAAGCCUGAUCCAGCCAUGCCGCGUGUGUGAAGAAGGUCUUCGGAUUGUAAAGCACUUUAAGUUGAGAGGAAGGGCAGUAAGCGAAUACCUUGCUGUUUUGACGUUACCGACAGAAUAAGCACCGGCUAACUCUGUGCCAGCAGCCGCGGUAAUACAGAGGGUGCAAGCGUUAAUCGGAAUUACUGGGCGUAAAGCGCGCGUAGGUGGUUCGUUAAGUUGGAUGUGAAAGCCCCGGGCUCAACCUGGGAACUGCAUCCAAAACUGGCGAGCUAGAGUAGGGCAGAGGGUGGUGGAAUUUCCUGUGUAGCGGUGAAAUGCGUAGAUAUAGGAAGGAACACCAGUGGCGAAGGCGACCACCUGGGCUCAUACUGACACUGAGGUGCGAAAGCGUGGGGAGCAAACAGG